RNAcentral lists this ribosomal RNA (679 nucleotides) under uncultured Actinomycetales bacterium. Its description in RNAcentral is "bacterial SSU rRNA". It matches the Rfam family "Bacterial small subunit ribosomal RNA", at positions 89 to 781 of the family's 1533-position model. Lineage: Bacteria; Bacillati; Actinomycetota; Actinomycetes; Actinomycetales. The record is from RNAcentral.
ACUCGAGUGGCGAACGGGUGAGUAACACGUGGGUGAUCUGCCCUGCGCUUCGGGAUAAGCUUGGGAAACUGGGUCUAAUACCGGAUAGGAGCCAUCUUUAGUGUGGUGGUUGGAAAGUUUUUUCGGUGUAGGAUGAGCUCGCGGCCUAUCAGCUUGUUGGUGGGGUAAUGGCCUACCAAGGCGGCGACGGGUAGCCGGCCUGAGAGGGUGUACGGCCACAUUGGGACUGAGAUACGGCCCAGACUCCUACGGGAGGCAGCAGUGGGGAAUAUUGCACAAUGGGCGCAAGCCUGAUGCAGCGACGCCGCGUGGGGGAUGAAGGCCUUCGGGUUGUAAACUCCUUUCGCUAGGGACGAAGCUUUGUUGUGACGGUACCUAGAUAAGAAGCACCGGCUAACUACGUGCCAGCAGCCGCGGUAAUACGUAGGGUGCGAGCGUUGUCCGGAAUUACUGGGCGUAAAGGGCUCGUAGGUGGUUUGUCGCGUCGUCUGUGAAAUUCUGGGGCUUAACUCCGGGCGUGCAGGCGAUACGGGCAUAACUUGAGUGCUGUAGGGGUAACUGGAAUUCCUGGUGUAGCGGUGAAAUGCGCAGAUAUCAGGAGGAACACCGAUGGCGAAGGCAGGUUACUGGGCAGUUACUGACGCUGAGGAGCGAAAGCAUGGGUAGCGAACAGGAUUAG